This 845-nucleotide ribosomal RNA is filed under the name uncultured Pseudomonadota bacterium. Its description in RNAcentral is "bacterial SSU rRNA". It matches the Rfam family "Bacterial small subunit ribosomal RNA", at positions 74 to 896 of the family's 1533-position model. The record is from RNAcentral. Lineage: Bacteria; Pseudomonadati; Pseudomonadota.
UUUCCUUCGGGAGACAAGUAGAGUGGCGCACGGGUGAGUAACACGUAGGUAAUCUACCUUUGGAUGGGGAAUAACAACCGGAAACGGUUGCUAAUACCGCAUAAUGCAGCGGCACCUAAUGGUGACAGUUGUUAAAGCGGGGGAUCGCAAGACCUCGCGUCUAAAGAGGAGCCUGCGGCGGAUUAGCUAGUUGGUAAGGUAAUGGCUUACCAAGGCUACGAUCCGUAACCGGCCUGAGAGGGCGGUCGGUCACACUGACACUGACAUACGGGUCAGACUCCUACGGGAGGCAGCAGUCGGGAAUUUUGGGCAAUGGGCGAAAGCCUGACCCAGCAACGCCGCGUGAAGGAUGAAAUCCCUCGGGAUGUAAACUUCGCAAGAACGGGAAGAAUAAGUAGGGGACAAUACCCCCUAUGAUGACGGUACCGUUUGUAAGCUCCGGCUAACUCCGUGCCAGCAGCCGCGGUAAUACGGGGGGAGCAAGCGUUGUUCGGAUUUACUGGGCGUAAAGGGCGCGUAGGCGGUCAGCACAAGUCAGUUGUGAAAUCUCCGAGCUUAACUCGGAAAGGUCAACUGAUACUGUGCGACUAGAGUGCGGAAGGGGCAACUGGAAUUCUUGGUGUAGCGGUGAAAUGCGUAGAUAUCAAGAGGAACACCUGCGGCGAAGGCGGGUUGCUGGGCCGACACUGACGCUGAAGUGCGAAAGCCAGGGGAGCGAACGGGAUUAGAUACCCCGGUAGUCCUGGCCUUAAACGAUGAAUGCUUGGUGUCUGGGGUUAUAAAGUCCCCGGGUGCCGUCGCUAACGCUUUAAGCAUUCCGCCUGGGGAGUACGGUCGCAAGACUG